GGGCGGAUGUAGCCAAGUGGCUCAAGGCAGUGGAUUGUGAUUCAA
Molecule: transfer RNA, 45 nt
Filed under: Stenocereus queretaroensis
Lineage: Eukaryota; Viridiplantae; Streptophyta; Magnoliopsida; Caryophyllales; Cactaceae
Description: partial tRNA-His
Source: RNAcentral